Molecule: RNA transcript, 2350 nt
Organism: Nomascus leucogenys (northern white-cheeked gibbon)
Lineage: Eukaryota; Metazoa; Chordata; Mammalia; Primates; Hylobatidae
Gene: DUS2
Gene name: dihydrouridine synthase 2
Exons: 17
Source: RefSeq, a predicted model, not a curated record
GAGGCGCGCCGGCUGGUUCAACUCCGGCCGCCGCGCCGAAACCAGCAGCGGUCCGGGUCGAACCAGCACCGGCCUCGGGAGGUUCCGACGCCUGCUCUGCCGCUGUUCCAACUGCCGCUGUAGAGCCACUGGGAUGCGCACCACCGGCAGGGGUUCCUCGGGACUGCGGACCGUGAGGCCUCGUCGGGGCGUCAGGAGCAACCGAGCCACGAGAGAAAAGAGCCGCACCGGCCGCGUUAGAGCCAUGUUUCCCUUAGUGCAGGAGAAGCGCACAUCAGUGACGUCACGGACGCGCCGCGGCCUCGCAUACGGUGGCUGGCGAGGCUCAGUACGGUGUGUAGAGCUGGAGCACCGUGAGGAAGAAGCGAGGUUCUCUUUAAGAGUUCAGCUGCGAGAUAUCAAACAAAGAAUUACUCUGUACAAAGCCAGAACAAAUAUAUCAAAGUAAUCCUGAAGUAUCAGAACAAAAUAAUAGGCUGUAACAGAGAAGGAAAUGAUUUUGAAUAGCCUCUCUCUGUGUUACCAUAAUAAGCUAAUCCUGGCCCCAAUGGUUCGGGUAGGGACUCUUCCAAUGAGGCUGCUGGCCCUGGAUUAUGGAGCGGACAUUGUUUACUGUGAGGAGCUGAUCGACCUCAAGAUGAUUCAGUGCAAGAGAGUUGUUAAUGAGGUGCUCAGCACAGUGGACUUUGUCGCCCCUGAUGAUCGAGUUGUCUUCCGCACCUGUGAAAGAGAGCAGAACAGGGUGGUCUUCCAGAUGGGGACUUCAGACGCAGAGCGAGCCCUUGCUGUGGCCAGGCUUGUAGAAAAUGAUGUGGCUGGUAUUGAUGUCAACAUGGGCUGUCCAAAAGAAUAUUCCACCAAGGGAGGAAUGGGAGCUGCCCUGCUGUCAGACCCUGACAAGAUUGAGAAGAUCCUCAGCACUCUUGUUAAAGGGACACGCAGACCUGUGACCUGCAAGAUUCGCAUCCUGCCGUCGCUAGAAGAUACCCUGAGCCUUGUGAAGCGGAUAGAGAGGACUGGCAUUGCUGCCAUCGCAGUUCAUGGGAGGAAGCGGGAGGAGCGACCUCAGCAUCCUGUCAGCUGUGAAGUCAUCAAAGCCAUUGCUGAUACCCUCUCCAUUCCUGUCAUAGCCAAUGGAGGAUCUCAUGACCACAUCCAACGGUAUUCAGACAUAGAGGACUUUCGACAAGCCACGGCAGCCUCUUCCGUGAUGGUGGCCCGAGCAGCCAUGUGGAACCCAUCUAUCUUCCUCAAGGAGGGUCUGCGGCCCCUGGAGGAGGUCAUGCAGAAAUACAUCAGAUACGCGGUGCAGUAUGACAACUACUACACCAACACCAAGUACUGCUUGUGCCAGAUGCUACGAGAACAGCUGGAGUCGCCCCAGGGAAGAUUGCUCCAUGCUGCCCAAUCUUCCCAAGAAAUUUGUGAGGCCUUUGGCCUUGGUGCCUUCUAUGAGGAGACCACACAGGAGCUGGAUGCCCAGCGGGCCAAGCUCUCAGCCAAGACUUCAGAGGAGACAGGGGAGCCAGCUGAAGAUACCUCUGGUGUCAUUAAGAUGGCUGUCAAGUUUGACCGGAGAGCAUACCCAGCCCAGAUCACCCCUAAGAUGUGCCUACUAGAGUGGUGCCGGAGGGAGAAGUUGGCACAGCCUGUGUAUGAAACGUCAGCAGCUCCCCAGUGUCUGAAGGAUCAAGCCAGCACCUCAGCAUAGAGCCUGAGACCCUUCCACGUGCCUCGCUCCUUCCAGUUUCAUCCCUGCAGCCCUUUGCUCCAGCCAAGUCACCUGGUCCCUCUGCCAGGUGUGCCUUCUCUGCUCCUAGCUUGUCCCUUCUCCCCCUUUUGGCAUCUGGUGACUCCUCAUUUUGGGGACCUGGCCUAUCCAGAUGUCAGCAGGAGGCUCCAUAGUCACGUGCAGCUAAGGGCUCUGCUGCGCUUUGCUUAGGUCCAUGACAGCUCCAGACACUUGAGGUCAUUGUGUAUUUGUGCAUCUGCCUUUCUCCACUGGGCACUUUUGCUUGGGAGGAGCAUGUGAUACAGGCAGCCUUCAUUUGACUUAGAUUGGAAAUACUUCCUUUUAUCUGCCUUUGAUUUGACCCCAGCAGGUUGGCCUACAGGGCUCAUUUCUCUGGCCAUGUGUUUCCUUUUCUCUUUGUACCAGGUUCAACGCCCUCUAGAUCGCCUGUUCUCCUCUAUUGUCACCGUUGCUGAACAAAAGUAUCAGUCUACCUUGUGGGACAAGUCCAAGAAACUGGCGGAGCAGGCUGCAGCCAUCGUCUGUCUGCGGAGCCAGGGCCUCCCUGAGGGUCGGCUGGGUGAGGAGAGCCCUUCCUUGCACAAGCGAAAGAGGGAG